ACUGGGGUAGCUCAGUAGUUGAGUAUCUGCCUAUGAACCAGGAGGUCAUGGUUCAAUUCCCUGCCAGGGCA
Molecule: transfer RNA, 71 nt
Filed under: Myotis davidii
Lineage: Eukaryota; Metazoa; Chordata; Mammalia; Chiroptera; Vespertilionidae
Rfam family: tRNA
About the family: Transfer RNA (tRNA) molecules are approximately 80 nucleotides in length. Their secondary structure includes four short double-helical elements and three loops (D, anti-codon, and T loops).
Source: Rfam by way of RNAcentral